AGUGGGCUAACUGGGUCAAAUGGUGGUUCCAUUCCAAGUUUUCUGAGGAAUCUCCAUACUGCUUUCCAGAGUGGUUGCCCCAUUUUGCAGUCCCACCAGCAAU
Molecule: microRNA precursor, 103 nt
Filed under: Marmota monax (woodchuck)
Lineage: Eukaryota; Metazoa; Chordata; Mammalia; Rodentia; Sciuridae
Source: RNAcentral